This 359-nucleotide ribosomal RNA is filed under the name uncultured bacterium. RNAcentral's name for it is "bacterial SSU rRNA". It matches the Rfam family "Bacterial small subunit ribosomal RNA", at positions 28 to 385 of the family's 1533-position model. The record is from RNAcentral.
GAUGAACGCUAGCGGCAGGCUUAAUACAUGCAAGUCGUGGGGCAGCAGGGGUAGCAAUACCCGCUGGCGACCGGCAAACGGGUGCGGAACACGUACGCAACCUUCCUUUAACUGGAGAAUAGCCCCUCGAAAGAGGGAUUAAUACUCCGUAACAUAUACAUGUGGCAUCACAAGUACAUUAUAGCUCCGGCGGUUAAAGAUGGGCGUGCGCCUGAUUAGAUAGNGGCGGGGUAACGGCCCACCAAGUCUGCGAUCAGUAACUGGUGUGAGAGCACGACCAGUCACACGGGCACUGAGACGCGGGCCCGACUCCUACGGGAGGCAGCAGUAAGGAAUAUUGGUCAAUGGACGCAAGUCUG